RNAcentral lists this transfer RNA (67 nucleotides) under Lepidodactylus lugubris. Its description in RNAcentral is "tRNA-Arg". Lineage: Eukaryota; Metazoa; Chordata; Lepidosauria; Squamata; Gekkonidae. The record is from RNAcentral.
UGGGGGCUAGUUUAACAAAAACCACUAAUUUCGACUUAGUAAAACCCGCACACCGCGGGGCCACCUA